UUUCAAGAUUAAGCCAUGCAUGUCUAAGUAUAAGCAACUUGUACUGUGAAACUGCGAAUGGCUCAUUAAAUCAGUUAUCGUUUAUUUGAUAGUACCUUACUACAUGGAUACCUGUGGUAAUUCUAGAGCUAAUACAUGCUAAAAACCCCGACUCACGAAGGGGUGUAUUUAUUAGAUAAAAAACCAACGCCCUUCGGGGCUCCUUGGUGAAUCAUAAUAACUUAACGAAUCGCAUGGCCUUGCGCCGGCGAUGGUUCAUUCAAAUUUCUGCCCUAUCAACUUUCGAUGGUAGGAUAGUGGCCUACCAUGGUGGCAACGGGUAACGGGGAAUUAGGGUUCGAUUCCGGAGAGGGAGCCUGAGAAACGGCUACCACAUCCAAGGAAGGCAGCAGGCGCGCAAAUUACCCAAUCCCGAUACGGGGAGGUAGUGACAAUAAAUACUGAUACGGGGCUCUUUUGGGUCUCGUAAUUGGAAUGAGAACAAUUUAAAUCCCUUAACGAGGAACAAUUGGAGGGCAAGUCUGGUGCCAGCAGCCGCGGUAAUUCCAGCUCCAAUAGCGUAUAUUAAAGUUGUUGCAGUUAAAAAGCUCGUAGUUGAACCUUGGGCCUGGCUGGUCGGUCCGCCUCACCGCGAGUACUGAUCCGGCUGGGCCUUUCCUUCUGGGGAACCUCAUGGCCUUCACUGGCUGUGGGGGGAACCAGGACUUUUACUGUGAAAAAAUUAGAGUGUUCAAAGCAGGCCUUUGCUCGAAUACAUUAGCAUGGAAUAAUAGAAUAGGACGUGCGGUUCUAUUUUGUUGGUUUCUAGGACCGCCGUAAUGAUUAAUAGGGAUAGUCGGGGGCGUCAGUAUUCAGCUGUCAGAGGUGAAAUUCUUGGAUUUGCUGAAGACUAACUACUGCGAAAGCAUUCGCCAAGGAUGUUUUCAUUAAUCAGGGAACGAAAGUUAGGGGAUCGAAGACGAUCAGAUACCGUCGUAGUCUUAACCAUAAACUAUGCCGACUAGGGAUCGGACGGGAUUCUAUAAUGACCCGUUCGGCACCUUACGAGAAAUCAAAGUUUUUGGGUUCUGGGGGGAGUAUGGUCGCAAGGCUGAAACUAAG
RNAcentral lists this ribosomal RNA (1101 nucleotides) under Penicillium olsonii. Its description in RNAcentral is "SSU rRNA". It matches the Rfam family "Eukaryotic small subunit ribosomal RNA", at positions 36 to 1147 of the family's 1831-position model. Lineage: Eukaryota; Fungi; Ascomycota; Eurotiomycetes; Eurotiales; Aspergillaceae. The record is from RNAcentral.